Molecule: ribosomal RNA, 232 nt
Filed under: uncultured bacterium
Lineage: Bacteria
Description: partial 16S ribosomal RNA
Rfam family: Bacterial small subunit ribosomal RNA
Source: RNAcentral
CGGGUGAGUAACACGUAGGUAAUGUGUCUUUGGGUGGGGAAUAACUUAGGGAAACUUAAGCUAAUACCGCAUAAUGCAGCGGCUCCUUAUGGAGACAGUUGUUAAAGAUUUAUCGCCUAAAGAGCAGCCUGCGGCAGAUUAGCUAGUUGGUAAGGUAAUGGCUUACCAAGGCUACGAUCUGUAUCCGACCUGAGAGGGUGGUCGGACACACUGACACUGAAUAACGGGUCAG